RNAcentral lists this long non-coding RNA (537 nucleotides) under Homo sapiens (human). RNAcentral describes it as "novel transcript". Lineage: Eukaryota; Metazoa; Chordata; Mammalia; Primates; Hominidae. The record is from RNAcentral.
GGGAAAAAUUAUUUUCACUAACUUUAAGACUCCAGAGACACUUUUCUCAGCCAUGACCAGUAAUGUUUUUAAAAGAUUUUGGAAGGAAUAGCUCCUCACUAUACCACCAGUUCGUGAUUUUAAGGGAGGAGACAACCCCUCAUACUGUCUUAUGCCCAAUUUCUGCCUCCAAAGAAAGAAGUAAAAUCUAAAAGGCAGAAAUGAAAUCCACAAGCAGACAGCCUGGCCCCACAUCCUGGGCCUGGUAGUUAAAGAUUGACCCAUGACCUAAUCGGUUAUGUUAUCUAUAGAUUACAGACAUUGUAUAGAAAAGUACCAUGAAAAUCCCUGUCCUGUCCUGUUCCAUUCUAAUUACCGGUGCAGGCAGCCCCGAGUCACGUACCCCCUGUUUGCUCCAUCGAUCACGACCCUCUCAUGCGGACCCCCUUAGAGUUGUGAGCCCUUAAAGGGACAGGAAUUGCUCACUCGGGGAGCUCGGUUUUUGGAGACAUGAGUCUUGCUGAAGCUCCUGGCUGAAUAAAGCCCUUUCUUCUUUAA